This 425-nucleotide ribosomal RNA is filed under the name uncultured Desulfobulbus sp. RNAcentral's name for it is "bacterial SSU rRNA". It matches the Rfam family "Bacterial small subunit ribosomal RNA", at positions 960 to 1382 of the family's 1533-position model. Lineage: Bacteria; Pseudomonadati; Thermodesulfobacteriota; Desulfobulbia; Desulfobulbales; Desulfobulbaceae. The record is from RNAcentral.
CGCGAAGAACCUUACCUGGUCUUGACAUCCCGGAGACCUUAGGAACUAGGGGUGCUUCCAUCUGGAAGAAUCUGGAGACAGGUGCUGCAUGGCUGUCGUCAGCUCGUGUCGUGAGAUGUUGGGUUAAGUCCCGCAACGAGCGCAACCCUUGCCUUUAGUUGCCAGCAGUUCGGCUGGGCACUCUAAAGGGACUGCCGGUGUUAAACCGGAGGAAGGUGGGGAUGACGUCAAGUCCUCAUGGCCUUUAUGACCAGGGCUACACACGUAUUACAAUGGCCGAUACAAAGGGCAGCGACACUGCGAGGUGAAGCCAAUCCCGUAAAAUCGGUCUCAGUCCGGAUUGGAGUCUGCAACUCGACUCCAUGAAGUUGGAAUCGCUAGUAAUCGUGGAUCAGCAUGCCACGGUGAAUACGUUCCCGGGCCUU